GCCAAAGAAGCAAGCCACACGCCAUCACACGCCCUGCCAGGGGGAUAAGGGAACUUUUCCUGUUUCAACUGGGACCUCGCCCAGGAUCCCGGAAGGGAUUCCAGCAUUUGUCCCAGCAUGUUUUAUGCAGAAAGAAGUGAUCAAGGAAAGUGUCCAAGACAUGGUCAACUUGUUUGAAUGUAGUCUCCUGAGAAGAAUAAUUCACUGUCAAGUCAUACCGUACUGUUUAUAUGAAUGUGCUGAUUGUGAAGACUUAAUUUGUGUAAUUAAAGGAGCGGAACAAAAAAAUAAGGAUACAUCAAAAUUGCAUUGAUAUGAUGAAAUGGCAAGAAUGAAUCUCAUAAUUAGGAGACCAGAAGCAUCAGAGACCCAAGCACCAAAAUUGGAAAACAUUUUUUCACAGGGCCCUGUCAUUUCUGCAUAUCUUGUGAUAAGAGGUACUAAGGGCACUUUGUUGUAGAUUAUCUUUCCAAAGAUAUUUAUAAAAGGAACAAGUUUGAACAACGUCUCCUUCUAGAGCAAAAGAUAGGCAUGCUUUCUUCCCAUUAUAAAAAUGCAGAUUCUUUUAACUCAAGGUUCCUUUUGUUUAAUUUCAACCACACUGCAUGUGCUAGCAUCCAUCUAGUCUAUUCUGCACCAUCCCAUGGGAUGGAGGGGUAAAGGAAACUGAUGCAAAUUUGUGCAUGUUCAUGUUGCUUGCUGUACACUGACACAGAAAUCGUCUACCUUAUAGUAGUAUCCACAGAGCUUGUUAGAUGUCAACUUAGGUAACAUCUCAAACCUUUCAUACUUCUGCACAGUUUUGGGAAUGAAGAUGGGAUGCUGACAGAAAUACAGCUUUCUGAAAAGAAAACAUAAGGGCGUGGUAGGCCAAUUAACCUAAUUUGAAGGAACACCAUCAGAAUAAAUAGCAAAUGUGUUGAACAAACUGUAUGGUAAAUUGGGCAAAAUAGUCCUCUUCUUUAUUGCCUGUUGAUGAGAAGAAAACAGGACAGUAGUUAGAAGAUGAGUACUUGAAAUAGUUUCAGAGACAAGUUCCUGAACAAUAUCCUUAUUGUUUACUAUCCUUUAGGCGGAGAAUUUCUUAAAGAACUGGUGGUCAGCCUUGUUCCAUUUGAUUGCAACAACUAGUGCUAAGAUAUGUCCUCUUUCAGACAAUAGUUAGAAAAGCAUGUGCCUAAGCUGAAUGAGAACAAAAAAAAAA
Long non-coding RNA from Homo sapiens (human), 1204 nucleotides. Lineage: Eukaryota; Metazoa; Chordata; Mammalia; Primates; Hominidae. The record is from Ensembl.